AAAAAAAAAAAAAAUUGUGCUCCAUGGUUACUGUAGGUUCUCUUGCUCCCCUUUCUUCUCUCUUGCUCGGCGCCCUCCUCUUCCACUGUUUCGCGAGCAGCCACAUGACACCAUGGCCGCCGGCGCUGGCGCAGUCCCUGGACGUCGCCCUGCCCACGGCGCGCCUGGUCCUGCGUGGCGAGGAGGCCCAGGUGGACCUGGCGCUGCCGGGGCUCGCCGCCGUAUUGCGCGUCGCGGGCGCCGGCACAAGCAGACAAGCACGGCACCUUCCUCGCCCACCUCCUCGACCUCCGGGCGCGCCCGACGCCAUGGCCGCCAGCCCGACACCGUUGGCGGCGCCCCCGCCGAACGCCACGGCGGCCGCCGCAAGCCGCGAAUCACUCGACCCUAAGGUUCGAGUGCUUCCGAUCCGGAGAACCUAGUCUUGUUCGUGGACCUGAAGAGGGGCCCAACAGGGGCGUUUUUGUGGGCCGGGUCGACGAGCCGAUGGGUGGACCCGCACCACGCCCAUCUCUAAUCACGAACCUCCCGCUGACAGGCGGCCGCAACCCCUCCUCGACCCAAAGAUGGCGUCCAUCGGAGGUCGGAGCCCCCCGUGUGGUCAGCGCGCGGUGGAGAGUGGCAGCAGUGCCGCUGGAGGUGGAACUGUAUCUGCUGAAUGCCAUCGACAUACAGCGCCUGCCGCGGCUGCCGGAGAAGAAGCCGCCCUACACGCGCGGACCCUGCUGUGCAUAGGAGCCGUCGCUGCAUAGCGCCCUGUCCCGCAAGCGGAUGACCCUUCGAGUUCGGCACGGCUCGACCUCGCCGUCACCCACCAGAACAGCGUGCGCUAGCCGCAGCCGAUUCCGUGCCUGCACAGCUAUGUAGCGCAGCCACCAUUCCGUCCUCAAGUGACAGACACUUCAUAUAUUUAUGCACUCCAUCUCAAUCAUAUUUAAUAUUUUCUUCGUAGCCAUUAAUUACGCCAUAUUUUUUCUACUAUAUUGUAAAUUGUUCAAGCAAUCGAUUUGUUGAAAAAGCAAUAACAACAUAUUCGGCUGUCUAGCGAUCAGAAUGGAGUGGCAAGUAUUAAUUGGUGAGGGUGAUGUCUGGGGUCAUUGUUUUAUUAUAUGUACAUUCGGUCAUUUCGCGAUCACGAAAAUGUUGCACAUGUACCUUCGUUAUUUCAUUACAACACAGUAUCAUCAGCAUGCAUCAUUUGCAGCUUUCGUAGCUAUCAGAAUGCAAUGGGCUUUAUUUCUUUAAGUCUAAAAAACAGUGUCAACUUCUUCAGUAUAAGUGUUUGUGCAACUUUUUUUGCAA
This is a long non-coding RNA of Panicum virgatum (switchgrass), 1302 nucleotides long. RefSeq lists it as uncharacterized. The record is from RefSeq and is a predicted model, not a curated record. The transcript is spliced from 2 exons. NCBI's taxonomy places the organism in Eukaryota, Viridiplantae, Streptophyta, Magnoliopsida, Poales, Poaceae.